RNAcentral lists this transfer RNA (70 nucleotides) under Bufo gargarizans (Asiatic toad). RNAcentral describes it as "tRNA-Trp". It matches the Rfam family "tRNA". Rfam says of the family: Transfer RNA (tRNA) molecules are approximately 80 nucleotides in length. Their secondary structure includes four short double-helical elements and three loops (D, anti-codon, and T loops). Further hydrogen bonds mediate the characteristic L-shaped molecular structure. tRNAs have two regions of fundamental functional importance: the anti-codon, which is responsible for specific mRNA codon recognition, and the 3' end, to which the tRNAs corresponding amino acid is attached (by aminoacyl-tRNA synthetases). tRNAs cope with the degeneracy of the genetic code in two manners: having more than one tRNA (with a specific anti-codon) for a particular amino acid; and 'wobble' base-pairing, i.e. permitting non-standard base-pairing at the 3rd anti-codon position. RNAcentral also lists the same sequence under 1 other name. Lineage: Eukaryota; Metazoa; Chordata; Amphibia; Anura; Bufonidae. The record is from RNAcentral.
AGAAACUUAGGAUAAUUUAGACCAGGAGCCUUCAAAGCCCCAAGUAGAAGUUAGAAUCUUCUAGUUUCUG